GUGCUUGCUUGGGCAGCACAUAUACUAAAAUUAGAACUAUACAGAGAAGAUGAGUAUGGCCUC
Molecule: small nuclear RNA, 63 nt
Filed under: Panthera pardus (leopard)
Lineage: Eukaryota; Metazoa; Chordata; Mammalia; Carnivora; Felidae
Source: RNAcentral